CCGGGAGCGUCCUCAGCACACACACACACACACGCACACGGGCUCUGUGUCUCAUCGAACACAGCGGGAGACGAGACACAGCUAAUCAUAGCCCAUCCCCUCCCCCUACCUCCUUGUCUUGCUUCAUCGCAUGACUAUCUGUUUCUGUGCUCGUUAGUUUCUGUCACUUCGUUGCUGUUGUUGUGUGCGCCAGCAUACACACUAGCGAACGUUUCUAUCGCCCCCGUGGCACCCUGGAUCAAGACGCGCAUUGACAAGAUGGCGGCUGCUCGUCAAGAAAUGGCAGAUCUGCUGCGUGAGGUGCAGAAACUUCAGAAGGAGCUGCAGCCUGUGCGUUCUGCGGUGACCGCACUUCAGAAACGGGAGGCAGACACGCCAAACGCUGCGGCAGCCGGGGCCUCCUUGAAGAAGGUUGCCACGCGCCUCGAAAGCGUGAAGCAGAAGUACAAGCCGUAUCUGACUCGCCUGCAGGAACUGUUGCUUGAUGAGGUGCCGUCGUACCUGCAGCAGACACCGCUGCUGGCGGCAGACGUGGAGUCUCUGGAGCAUCGCCCAGGCGGCGCGCCUCGUGGUACUUGCAAUGCCGCAAACGAGCGGCUGACCGCGGGCUCCUCGUCGUCUGUCACCAAGAACACAAGCGACGAUGCAGCUCACCUUCUCCAGCAGGUCUGCCCGCCAUCGACCCCGCACCUUCUGCAACCCGAAAACCUCCGCUUCACCCACCAGCAGCUUCGCCUCCGCGCGGAGAUGGUCGAGUACUUGAUCGAAACGAACCGAGUCGACAUCGCCGAGCACCUUGUUCGCGAAUACGGCCUUCCCCUGCAGUGGUUUCCACGGCUGGUGCUGCUGCAUCGCGAGCGCAUCUUUGGUGCGGCUGCAGAUAGGGUGGAGUCGUCGCAAACCGCCCCGCCCACCGGUGCGGCGGCAGGCGCAACUGUGGCGGCUGUGGCUGUCGGCCACUCGCGGUCGUUGCCGGCCUCUAGCGCCUCUCCGCCGGUUACGCCAGCGACGCGGCCCCGUGUCGCUGCGGUUCCGCCGAAGUCGCCAAUUCAGCUUUCAUUGACAGCCUCCCCGAAGAGCAGCGUGGCUGGUAUACCGACGCCUUCCCUGCCACGAUCUCCAGCCCCGCAGCCUACGCCAGCAAGCUCAGUCGUCGCCAGCACCCCUGUGGGGCAGCACUUGAGCCGGAGCGCACCCUCACCUGCCUCUUCUGCCCACUCGCCACCCACCCCACAGCAGCAACAGCGGGAGAGCGGGGCGGCAAGCGUGUUCCCGUCACAAGCACCGUCCAAUACCGGCACCGCUGGUGCCGCGACUGCUCCUGCUACCAUGCCAGAUCUUGUUGCUCGCGUCGUGAGCACAGCCAUGUACUUGAAAGACGAGUACCUGGAUCGCAUGGUGCUGGAACGCACCCUGGAGCAACACCUUGGCACCGCGCCGUCCUCGGAGUCGGCAAGCGCUACAUCGACUCGUGGCAACAGCACGCCACCGCCGUCCUCUGCGACGCCGCUAGAACGCUACAAGGCGUGCGUUCUCAGUCGCAUUGCUAACAUACCUCGCCACCACCUGCACACACAGUCAGGCGACGACGUCUUCGACAGCGCCAUAAUGAACAUCAUCGAGGAUCUGCUCGUGUACGGCUUGCAGAAGUGGGCAGAGGUGGAUGCCGUGACAGCGGCUGACGCUGAAGAGGCAUCUGCAGAGUCCAGGAAGAAAGCAGAGCUGCAGCGCACGCUGACCACGGACACCCUUCUAACUCCGCAGGAGAUGCUGCUGGCAGACAAGGUAUGGAGCGAGGAGAUUCUUCUCUUGAAGAGGCCCACAAGGUUCUACUGCGUGGAGAGCGGCUUGACCACGGACGACGGGGCCGCCUCCGCGCUGGCGAUGCCACGCGCGCGCACCAGUGGCGAGGUGGUUUCGAAGUGCGUCGCCAUCAACCAUGACGCUCUCGACGCGACCGUGGGCAUCUUCAUCACUUGAGGCGAGAGCAUCGCGCAGAGGCGCACAGUCGCACAUGCACCUGCACGACGAAGCGGACGCGCACGCUUGGAAAGCGCGCGCAAGAAGCGCCUGAUUGGUGUUGAGGCCUCUCGUGGCUCAGUGGCCAUGGCUUUGUUCGGCUCUUUCUUUGGCUGAUGAGAGCAGCCGCACUUUCUUUUUUUCCCUGUGCGCGUCUGUGAGAAUGUGUCUUGGUGCGCGUUGCGGGACUGAGGUGUCUGUGCCAUACGGUGCGUUGUGGUGCCGUGGGGGCAGUGGCGGUCGUUGAUCUCCUUCCUCUCUUUGAUUCCACUAGCUGCGUGACGCUUCCCGUCGUAUACACACACGGGCACAGGGCACGUGCGCACGCAUGCGGUUGUUCGCGGUGCCGCGCACUGUUGCACUUCGUCGCUCGCCUCUGCGCACGUACACCUACCCCCCCCCAUCCCUCUCCUACGCUGGACAUUAUUCGGUUCUGCGGAACGCGUCGGCGUGAGCACGCGUGUUUGCGUUUUUCUUGUCUCUCCUCCUUCUAUGUCAUUCCCUCUACCUCUGCGAGCGCCUGCGCGGGUGCCACUGCUUAGUCUCGUCGUUCUGGCGCUCCAUCGCGCCUUCUCUCCCCUGUCGCAUUGCUGCCGGUGAUCGUGCUCCGGCAACGGCCUCUCUCUCUACCUAAAACGAAAGGGGUCCGGCUUCUGCAUCUGCCUAUGCGUUCACGGCGUCAUCAGUGACGCUGCUCGAACUGCCCCCAGAAAGGCACACGCGAGCGCAAGCGUCAAAUACGACGCCGCUGUACAGCUGUGCCAUGUGCGUGAGCUUGCUCGAGCGCAUGUCAAAAGGCUUCAUUGGGUCAUCGAUCGCGAACCGUAGCAUCACCAACACAGCGAUGGUACUCGACUUACGAUGACUUGCCGAAAGCCUCCCACGCCUUGUGCUCGUUUCUCCUCUCGAAUUCUCGUGUAAUGGUCGAUCCGUUGAGUGUGUGUGUGUGUGUGUCCGUGAGAGAAAG
Molecule: unclassified non-coding RNA, 2986 nt
Filed under: Leishmania donovani
Lineage: Eukaryota; Euglenozoa; Kinetoplastea; Trypanosomatida; Trypanosomatidae
Description: gene:LdHU3.34.2230(CDS-product:hypothetical_prote in_conserved)
Source: RNAcentral